This is a non-coding RNA of Coffea arabica (coffee), 781 nucleotides long. The record is from RefSeq and is a predicted model, not a curated record. NCBI's taxonomy places the organism in Eukaryota, Viridiplantae, Streptophyta, Magnoliopsida, Gentianales, Rubiaceae.
GAAUCCACUUGAUCAUUUAGAAGUCGCUGGUGGCCACCAAAUCUUUUCUUCUUACCCACCUCCUUCCGGAAAGGAACCUCGCACUUCCCACCUAGGCCUGCGCUUCCCGGUCUUUCUCUCUCUCCUCUCUUCAAAACCUCUCAAAGCAAAGCAGCAAAGGAGGGAAGAAAAACAGAAGAUAGGCUAAGCUAAGAAAAGUAAAGCAAAGGAAAAAGAAAAAGAAGAAUGUGUCCAUUGAGAAUUAUCCUAAUCUUCCUGUCUGCUACUCUUGCCGGAUUCUUCGUCUUCCGAAAUCUCAAAUCUCAACCCACCACCGAUCUUGACUCCGACACCGACACCCUAAACACUGUAGAAUGCAAUUCCCCAGAUAACCUCUCAAAGUCUCCUUCUUUUUCCUCCAAGGUAUGUGGGGCAAUUGGGAAAGGGUUUUGGACGUGCGUGGACAUGGCAAGUGGAAGAUAUUUGUGGAGGAAUUUGGUGGGCUCCGAGUCCUCUUCUCCAGCUUCUGAAAAGGCCGACUGAUGAUCCCGGUGGUAAAGGUUGAUCAUUGGGUGGGAUUAGGUUUUGUGAUUUGUUACUCCACUUGUUGUAUUGUAUGCUAUGGACUGAACUCAAAUUGUGUUCGCUUUCCAUUUGUAAUUUUGCUUUUCAAUUAGGGCUACGAGUUUAGGAGUCUGUAUCAUCUUAAUUGUAAAGCUUUACUGUUAUGAAAAUACCACGAGAAUACCUGCGUGGAAUGUAGGUUAUUUUUCGUAAUAAUAUACAUUGUGUUGGGAAUUUC